This 419-nucleotide unclassified non-coding RNA is filed under the name Hevea brasiliensis (rubber tree). Lineage: Eukaryota; Viridiplantae; Streptophyta; Magnoliopsida; Malpighiales; Euphorbiaceae. The record is from RNAcentral.
CCAAUUUCCUAUAUGCCUACGCUCGCGUUGGGGUUACAGGUUACGACUUGUUCCCCUGUUUCAAACUUCUGCUCUGCCCUGUACUUAUACCUAUGUGCUAAGUAUAGAAAAGCACAGAAAUUUAUUACGCUCAGUACUGUGAGAAGCCAGUAAAAAUAAUCAAAUCUACCAGUAUUUAUAUUCUGGGAUAACCAGGAUGGCUGCCUUUUUUCUGGGCUCCCUGUUACUGAUUUAAUGAUGCUGUUCAAGAUACUUGCUGCGAAGCAUCCUAAACCUCCAGCUAAAGCAGCAUAAGAAGAUCCUAUACUUUUCAUAGCGUCAGGAGCUUCUUCAUAAAGGAAUUCCAGUAACCCCACGAUGCAAAAUACUUCAGCUAUUCCUAUGAGGCAGUACUGGAUCAACAACCAGAAUGCGCUCAG